AGUGAACGCUGGCGGUAGGCCUAACACAUGCAAGUCGAACGGCAGCACAGUAAGAGCUUGCUCUUACGGGUGGCGAGUGGCGGACGGGUGAGGAAUACAUCGGAAUCUACUUUUUCGUGGGGGAUAACGUAGGGAAACUUACGCUAAUACCGCAUACGACCUACGGUUGAAAGCAGGGGAUCUUCGCACCUUGCGCGAUUGAAUUAGCCGAUGUCGGAUUAGAUAGUUGGCGGGGUAAAGGCCCACCAAGGCGACGAUCCGUAGCCGGUCUGAGAGGAUGGUCAGCCACACUGGAACUGAGACACGGUCCAGACUCCUACGGGAGGCAGCAGUGGGGAAUAUUGGACAAUGGGCGCAAGCCUGAUCCAGCCAUACCGCGUGGGUGAAGAAGGCCCUCGGGUUGUAAAGCCGUUUUGUUGGGAAAGAAAAGCAGCAGGUUAAUACCCCGCUGUUCUGACGGUACCCAAAGAAUAAGCACCGGCUAACUUCGUG
Molecule: ribosomal RNA, 492 nt
Filed under: uncultured bacterium
Lineage: Bacteria
Description: partial 16S ribosomal RNA
Rfam family: Bacterial small subunit ribosomal RNA
Source: RNAcentral